RNAcentral lists this long non-coding RNA (1407 nucleotides) under Bos taurus (domestic cattle). RNAcentral describes it as "long non-coding RNA NONBTAT027796". Lineage: Eukaryota; Metazoa; Chordata; Mammalia; Artiodactyla; Bovidae. The record is from RNAcentral.
GCCACUGUGGCCCAACAGACCAGUCCUUGGACCCUGUUUCAGAACCAUUGGAGAACUGUGAAAAAAAAGUGAAGGAAGCCUUGGAUGGGGUUUUUAGAACAUUGUUUCAGAUGGAACUUCUUUUUCCAAGCCAAGUUUAAAAUUCCAUUUAUAUUUGGGGUAUUAACUCAUUUUGAUUUUGAUUUAUUUCCUGAUUUUCACAAAAGGAAUGAUUCAUUUAUAAAUCACAGAAGAACAUUACAGUAUCUCUGGGAUGGUUUAACACAGUUUAAUGGUUUAAUGGAGUUUUAAAAUCUUUGAGAACAUUUACUCAGUGAAUAUAUGUGAUAACAUCUUCAUAGUUUGACAACCAUUCCAUUUACCCUUUUAGAUAUUUGAUAGGAAUUAAUUCAACUCAUAAUACUUCCAUUUUGCUUAAAUAAAGGUUUUAUUUUGCUGGUAGGAGAAGUUAGUUAUUAAAUGCACCAGGUAUAAAGUAAAAGAUGGUUUACCCACGUGGUUUUGAUAUCACGCACAUUCCCCAGAUGCAGUGUUUAACCUUGACUCAUCACCAGGGUCUAGACUCAGAUUAGUAAAUAUUCCUCUCUCACAAUUAAAAUGAUCAAUUUCCCAUCAGUCUGUUGCUUUAAAUUUUAUUUCUUCAAGAGAAACUUUCCACAGAAUUAAGAAAAAUAAUAAUGCAUCCAUAUUCAGGGUGUAGGGAAAAUUCUUUCCAUUUCAAGCUCUGUCCACCCGUCACCAGCACAAGAGAAGUAGAGCUUCCCUGGGAAUUACGAAGCUGUGCUCAAGUGAAAUGCUUUUUUCCUCACUCUCGUUUGAGGCCCUGCAUACAUUGACUAACUCACCGUAUUCCUGCUCUGGAGAUGCAGACGCAGUGUUGGUCACACUUGUCACUUUAUAUAUUUAUUUUUUUUCUACCAUCCAUGUACAUUCCUUUCACAGGGGUAGAAUCAUAGGUCUAGAAGUUCAUUGUCUUGUUUUUUGUUGUAAUGUUUGAACACUAUUUAAUAUCAGGUUUUAAUAUUGCUGGAUUUGCUACCUUUUGUUACUUGUGCAGUGUUAAUAGUAAUAAUUCACAUUCUUGUUUAAUAUACCAGCUAUAGAGCAAAAGCAGCUUUGAAUAAUUAUAGCUGUUUAUUUGACUGUGCUGAAUUAUUCCGUUAAGAUCUUGUAUAACAGUAACUUUUUUCUUUUGCUUUUUCAGUAAUUUAAUAUGUUCAUUUACCAAAAUAUGAACUUCAGGAUGCACUAAAAUUUUGUUUUUGCAGUGGCUCAAAAAUAAACAUUUCAGAAAUUACUUUUGUAAUAAUUUGCGAUCAAUUGUUCUUUUAUUUUUUCCAAUUGUUUAAGUCUGUGAUGUUUCUCUCCCAAUUAAGAAUUUCCCAAUAAACUUAAGAGAUGCCUGAC